ACUCUAAAGCCACCCCAAAAAAAGUCCCCCGCUGAGAUAACAAACUUGAUCUGUACCCAAUAAAAUGUACCCAGGAAAGCAACCUCAUAAAAAUCUACGGGUGAGACAUUCUCUUCAGCAGCUUCAACUCAAUCGGACGGCUGAUCUUAUAUGGAUCCGCGGCUUCAACGCACCACGUCAGCCCGCGCGUCCGCGCCCCCCUCCCUCUUUUGGCUCCCACCAAAAAAAAAUCCGCCGCGGCCGCAGACGCGUAAUCCGGCGCGACGGCCUCCGACACCGCUUCCGGGUCCGGCGCCCGCCUCCCCCUCUAGCCUCCAGGUCCGGCCGCCGCUUCCCCUCGCCGCCGUUCGCGGGCCGGGCUGGGAUCCGGCCGCCCCUCACCGCGCCCCUGCGAACCCGGCCACCGGUCCCCCAGAUCUGGCGCUCCUCCUUGCCGGCAGCCGGCGACAGCGAGCGGUGGCGCUCGGGCUGGAGGAGGACCCGCCCGAGCCGCUCCGUCCCUCGCGGAUCCGCCCCGUCGCACGCGUUCUCCUCCCCGCUCGCCCGCCGCCGCGCGCGUCCUCCUUCUCCGCCAGUCAGGACGCGUCGUCCUCCCCCACCAGGCCGUCGCCGCACGCGUCGCUCUCGCUGACCAGGGACGCCCUCGCCACAGUGGUGCAGGAGAUGGAGGAGAGCUGCACCUCGCCGCCGCCGUCGCGGGAUCUGGCAGGAGGAAGGACGCACGCGCGCCGGCGUGCCGCUGCUCGAGCCGACUGCCGCUGCCCCGCGCGCGUGCCGUGGCUGCCCACGCCGGCCGCCGUGGCUCCACGCCGUUCCCCCACCGGCCGCUGCUGCCGCCAAGCUCAAGACCCUCAAGCCACUCCAAGACGCCGUCGAGGCACCCUGCCCCCUCGCGGCCGAUUGCGGCAGCUGCAUGAUCAAGUCCCUUGCGUACGCAGCGCAGAUCCGACACAAGCACCACCAGGGUCGAGACACUCCACGGCCGGCUUGCGCGCCCACCUCCCUGCCUCCGACAGGUUCGUCGAUGGCACCGGCGCCACGAUCCGCUGCUCGCCGUCCGGCCGACAUCCUCUGCUGCCGUCGUGCAGCGCUCGCCGGCCAGAGACACUACGCAAGUCGGGUGAGAAACCAUCGUCUGGACGUCGGCAUGCCGGUGCCCUCCAACGUUGUCAUCACGCCACCACUCAGGGUUAUUGGCAUCUCUUGUACUAAGGACAUGCCGAGACAACCAGCGUGACACUUACCGAUAUCACCAACACCUCAACCUCAGAUCAAGCCGGUGCCGUGGAUGCUGCUGCGCCGAGGAGGCAAGAAAGGAAUAAGCAACAACGCAAACGGCGAUCUGAGAUGUCUGAUGAACAAAGAGAAGAGAUUAAUAGGAAACAACAUGAGUAUCGUGCGCGAAAAAAAGGCAGAGUCAAACCGCACUUACCCUACAGGCGUCCUCACUCCAACCAUGACAUCCUCCACAUUGGCAGUUCAGAAUCAAAGCCAUUCUGCCAAUCCACUGCUUGAGUGCAUGAAUAAAGUAACUACAGGAUCGAUAUUUCUAUUGGAGAGCAUGAGCUUAUAACAAUACUUUCAAUUAAUCUGUUUAGUGCAUAACAUCUCGAAGUUUUCAGGCACAAUUUUUUUAAAGGUUUCACAUGUUUUUUGUAGUGAAGCAGCUAGGAAGCUUUGGCAUAUGCUCCAUCGUUUGGAUUUGUUUUGUAAGUGUGAUGAGACAAAUCUGUGGAAAGAAGAAAUGAUCUUGCUCGUCUUAUAUCUCAAACAUAAUUCUGAUGUAUGUCAACUGAA
Panicum virgatum (switchgrass) is the source of this 1797-nucleotide RNA transcript. It is a transcript of the gene named vegetative cell wall protein gp1-like, with no coding region annotated. The transcript is spliced from 3 exons. Lineage: Eukaryota; Viridiplantae; Streptophyta; Magnoliopsida; Poales; Poaceae. The record is from RefSeq and is a predicted model, not a curated record.